This 200-nucleotide unclassified non-coding RNA is filed under the name Candidatus Sulfopaludibacter sp. SbA3. Lineage: Bacteria; Pseudomonadati; Acidobacteriota; Terriglobia; Bryobacterales; Solibacteraceae. The record is from RNAcentral.
ACAACCCGUCGCAUUACUGUAGGACAGACGGAUCACACCUUGCGAUGCGCCAAGCGUGGACUGGGGCAGCGCCGGGCAGGGUAUAGAGCUUCGAAAACUAGAAACGGAGGUCGCCGACCCUGUCGUCUGUAGGGGAAGGCAACACGCGGUCACGGCGGUACAUCGCGAGCCGGACGGCGGACCCACGUAGUCUAAGACCC